RNAcentral lists this ribosomal RNA (246 nucleotides) under uncultured bacterium. RNAcentral describes it as "partial small subunit ribosomal RNA". It matches the Rfam family "Bacterial small subunit ribosomal RNA", at positions 26 to 285 of the family's 1533-position model. The record is from RNAcentral.
AGAAUCAACGCUGGCGGCGUGCCUAACACAUGCAAGUCGAACGAGAAAGGGAUUUCGGUCCUGAGUAUAGUGGCGCACGGGUGAGUAACACGUGAAUAAUCUACCUCCGAGUGGGGAAUAACUGAAGAGAAAUCUUAGCUAAUACCGCAUAACACUUACGAGUCAAAGCAGCAAUGCGCUUGGAGAGGAGUUCGCGGCCGAUUAGUUAGUUGGCGGGGUAAUGGCCCACCAAGACGAUGAUCGGUA